GUGCCAGCAGCCGCGGUAAUACAGAGGGUGCGAGCGUUAAUCGGAUUUACUGGGCGUAAAGCGCAUGCAGGUGGUUUGUUAAGUCACUUGUGAAAGCCCGGGGCUCAACCUCGGAAUUGCAUUUGAAAGAGGUAGGCUAGAGUACUGUAGAGGGGGGUAGAAUUUCAGGUGUAGCGGUGAAAUGCGUAGAGAUCUGAAGGAAUAGGGGUGGCGAAGGCCGCCCCCUGGACAGAUACUGACACUCAGAUGCGAAACCGUGGGGAGCAAACAGGAUUAGAUACCCCCGUAGUCC
This 292-nucleotide ribosomal RNA is filed under the name uncultured prokaryote. Its description in RNAcentral is "partial 16S ribosomal RNA". It matches the Rfam family "Bacterial small subunit ribosomal RNA", at positions 505 to 796 of the family's 1533-position model. The record is from RNAcentral.